This 30-nucleotide non-coding RNA is filed under the name Homo sapiens (human). Lineage: Eukaryota; Metazoa; Chordata; Mammalia; Primates; Hominidae. The record is from RNAcentral.
UCAACCUUUGGAUCUGGGGCUUACCAUCAC